Molecule: ribosomal RNA, 500 nt
Filed under: uncultured Actinomycetes bacterium
Lineage: Bacteria; Bacillati; Actinomycetota; Actinomycetes
Description: bacterial SSU rRNA
Rfam family: Bacterial small subunit ribosomal RNA
Source: RNAcentral
AGAGUUUGAUCAUGGCUCAGGACGAACGCUGGCGGCGUGCUUAACACAUGCAAGUCGAACGGUGAACCCGCUUCGGUGGGGGAUCAGUGGCGAACGGGUGAGUAACACGUGGGCAACCUGCCCCCGGCUCUGGGAUAACUCCAAGAAAUUGGGGCUAAUACCGGAUAUGACCGCUGACCGCAUGGUCUGGUGGUGGAAAGAUUUAUCGGCUGGGGAUGGGCCCGCGGCCUAUCAGCUUGUUGGUGGGGUAGUGGCCUACCAAGGCGACGACGGGUAGCCGGCCUGAGAGGGUGACCGGCCACACUGGGACUGAGACACGGCCCAGACUCCUACGGGAGGCAGCAGUGGGGAAUAUUGCGCAAUGGGCGGAAGCCUGACGCAGCGACGCCGCGUGGGGGAUGACGGCCUUCGGGUUGUAAACCUCUUUCAGCAGGGACGAAGCGGAAGUGACGGUACCUGCAGAAGAAGCACCGGCCAACUACGUGCCAGCAGCCGCGGUA